Molecule: ribosomal RNA, 450 nt
Filed under: uncultured bacterium
Lineage: Bacteria
Description: bacterial SSU rRNA
Rfam family: Bacterial small subunit ribosomal RNA
Source: RNAcentral
GUAGGGAAUCUUCCACAAUGGACGAAAGUCUGAUGGAGCAACGCCGCGUGAGUGAAGAAGGUUUUAGGAUCGUAAAACUCUGUUGUUGGAGAAGAACAGGGACUAGAGUAACUGUUAGUCCUUUGACGGUAUCCAACCAGAAAGCCACGGCUAACUACGUGCCAGCAGCCGCGGUAAUACGUAGGUGGCAAGCGUUGUCCGGAUUUAUUGGGCGUAAAGCGAGCGCAGGCGGUUUUUUAAGUCUGAUGUGAAAGCCUUCGGCUUAACCGAAGAAGUGCAUUAGAAACUGGGAAACUUGAGUGCAGAAGAGGACAGUGGAACUCCAUGUGUAGCGGUGAAAUGCGUAGAUAUAUGGAAGAACACCAGUGGCGAAGGCGGCUGUCUGGUCUGUAACUGACGCUGAGGCUCGAAAGUAUGGGGAGCGAACAGGAUUAGAAACCCUUGUAGUCC